Molecule: long non-coding RNA, 592 nt
Organism: Fundulus heteroclitus (mummichog)
Lineage: Eukaryota; Metazoa; Chordata; Actinopteri; Cyprinodontiformes; Fundulidae
Exons: 2
Source: RefSeq, a predicted model, not a curated record
UCUCCGCAGGUGGAGGCUGACAAGCAGGGAGGCGCCUCUCGCAGGUGAUCUGCGUUCAGUCAUCAGCAGGGACGGUUCUUAAACAGGCUGCUGUCAGCACCUCAUAGCCAAAGUGUCAGCCUUAAGUGGUGGAACCUGCCUCGGAUCCCGCUCAUGAGAACCCUUUUCCUCGGCUGAGCCGGCCAGCUCUCGGCCCGCUCAGCUGCUUAGGAAGAAAACCUCAGAAAGUCCCGAUCAUCCUCGCAAGUCUCGGCGUCUACAGAGCGCCGAUCAGCUGACAGCCUCCCUGCCGCCGCCCCCGCUGCACGAGUGACCGGACCCUGCCCCGCCCCCUCGGACGCUGCCAUCUGUCAGCUACCGCACCCUCUAUGAUCACCAGAAUCCACCUAGAACCGACGAUCCGCUUGGCAGCCUCCGCCCCUGGUCCAGGCACCAGCAGCUUUUCAGUCUUUGGUGCCCCCGCAGCAGCCGAUCACUCCCCCGGUGAAUCAAUUAUAAUACCGCGAUUACCACCUCCCGCUGUUACCAGACGUCCGGAGGACUCACAACAGGUCUUGAGCUUUAUAUUUAAUAAAACUCUUAAAAACUCGGA